AGAUCUGUAAUAAAAGGGAAAAACAUGUGUGAGAGAGCACGAGAAGGGAGGUGGGGAGUGACAAGACGAACAGAGAGAAAGAGGGACGUUGUAUUUCUUCCACUCUGUUUUGGAAGAGAAGGACUUUGACAUUCAGCAGCUGGAAAGCACAGUAGGAGAGACUCCACACUUUUCAUUUUCCUCCUCCCUUGAGUGAGUGCUGUCUGUCUCUCCAGGAAAUACUGCCACAGCUCCAGCGGGUCGGGACUGCAGAAGACGAGAGAAUUGGAUUUCAACGCCAGCGUCUGCAGACAGGCAGGGACAGGUGCUGCAUGCGGAGAAAGGAGGAGCAAAGCAAAGCGGAAACACGCCACACUGCUUCAUAGGAGGAUUUCUGAAACAGCUGCCCAGCAGACGUCCUGCCUGUAAGAACUAAACCCUCAAGGGCAGAGAAAGAGAGAGAGUGAGAAGACGAAAACGGCAACACGCUGCACCACCCAGGAGCUGACUAACAGUUUAGGUCAAGGCACCUCUGGGACGGCAACCAAAGACUGGAGAAAACAGGGACAUUAUUCUGCAAAGACACAGGAGCAGCACAUGCUCAACUGUUUGACCAGAAAAGAUCUUCUGAAAUUCCUCAGAUACAUUCCUCUGUCCAGCAGAACCUGGAAAGUCAACUUGACUCUCGCAGAAAGCCAAAGACAACAGCAGCUUGAGAACAGAAUCCUUGGAGGUGAAGGACAUUAAUCCAAACAUUUGAGCUGGAUUAUCUUCAGUGAGGAUUGAGGACGCAUUUAAAACAGCUGCUCUCUGAGAAUGUAACUCCUGCACUUCUACUUUGCGAGACUCCAGCAAGUUUAUCGCACAGCCGAGGAGAUCUGAACUUCCAGAGCAUUCCC
Molecule: long non-coding RNA, 878 nt
Organism: Cyprinus carpio (common carp)
Lineage: Eukaryota; Metazoa; Chordata; Actinopteri; Cypriniformes; Cyprinidae
Source: Ensembl